This 397-nucleotide transfer RNA is filed under the name uncultured Microcystis sp. RNAcentral's name for it is "bacterial LSU rRNA". The stretch from base 133 to 206 matches the Rfam family "tRNA". The record is from RNAcentral. Lineage: Bacteria; Bacillati; Cyanobacteriota; Cyanophyceae; Chroococcales; Microcystaceae.
AAGGGAGACCUAAUUCGGGUAGAAGACGAAAAAAUAGUAGUCGAAACCAAGAAUCAAUCCCAAAAGGUCGGAACGAGGUAUGUGGCUUUCAAACUAGGUUCUGGGUUCACAAAAGACCUGAAUCAGGAACAAGGGCUAUUAGCUCAGGUGGUUAGAGCGCACCCCUGAUAAGGGUGAGGUCCCUGGUUCGAGUCCAGGAUGGCCCACCUGCACAGGUGGCAAAAACAAGAGAAACGAGGAAUCAGCACCUUAUCUUAUAUACAUAUAUAAGAGAGAAUGCUGGCUCUGAGUUCAGAGUCCAGAGGAACCUUGAAAACUGCAUAGAGCUAGGUGAAAAAGCCAAAAAAGAAGACCGCAAGGUCAAGCUAAUAAGGGCUAACGGUGGAUACCUAGGCAC